Molecule: long non-coding RNA, 3582 nt
Organism: Macaca fascicularis (crab-eating macaque)
Lineage: Eukaryota; Metazoa; Chordata; Mammalia; Primates; Cercopithecidae
Source: Ensembl
UGUUUUUCCUUAGGCGUGGUUGUCUUGCGGCCUCUGACAUCCUCAUGGAUUUGCCCUGCUGCUUUCUACCCGGCUGUCUGUUCCCAAGGUGUUGCAUGCUGACGGCAAACCUGACCCAACGAGGCAGACUUCAUGCAAAGUCUCCAUGAAAUUCCAGUCUCCCGGCAGCUCUAUGCCACCCAAAACCAUGGGAGAGGCCCAGCUUGUUCCCAGCACUUCCUUCUGCUGGUUCCUCGUGCUGUUUCCUUGCUCCACUUGGAAUUUUCAAAGAUAUCUAAGUAGAUAAUGAUGUCCGGAAAAUGCUGUUUCUCAUCCAUCCAUAUUGAUUGAGUGGUUUUCAAUUGGAAAAUAAAAACAACCUCCCUACUCACCCCUCAUCCUGUUCUUUUCUGAACUUAGGAGAAUGACUUUUCCUUUUCUUUUUUUUGAUACAGAGUCUCACUCUAUCACCCAGACUGGAGUGCAGUGGCACGAUCUCACUGCAGCCUCUGCCGUCUGGGCUCAAGUGAUUCCCCUGCCUCAGCCUCCUGAGUAGCUGGGAUUACAGGCAUGCGCUGCCACGCCUGGCUAAUUUUUGCAUUUUUAGUAGAGAUGGGGUUUCACCAUGUUGACCAGGCUGGUCUCGAGCUCCUGACCUCAGGUGAUCCACCUGCCUCAGCCUCCCAAACACUUUAGGAGGCCGAGGCAGGAGAAUCACUUGAAGCAGGGGUUCAAAACCAGCCUGGGCAACAUAGCAAGACCCUGUUUCUAAAAAAAUACAAAAAUUGGCUGGCAUGGUGGUGUGUGCCUGUAGUCCCAGCUAGUCAGGAGGCUGAGUUGGGAGGAUUGCUUGAGCCCAGGAGGUUGAGGCUGCAGUGGGCUACGAUUGCACCGCUGAACUGCAGCCUGGAUGACAGAGUGAGACCCUGUCUCUAAGAAAAAGGCAAGAUGCAAAUGGUGGUUCAUGUAACGCUCUCAAACCUGAAUGUGCUCUCAAAUGAGUCUGAUGCAGUAAGUCCUGAGCAGGACCUGGGAAAUUCCAUUUCUGGCUGCACUCCAGGCGAAGUGUUGCUGCUUGACCUUUUGAAUGGCAAGUUCCUGUAGAUCUGGUGCGUUGUCCAACAUCAUACCCCUAGCCGCCUGUUGCUAAUUACAUUCAAAUUUAAAGGAUUUAAAAUAAAAUAGGAAUAAGAAUUCACUUCCAUAUAUACACCUAGUAUGUACCCACAAAAAUUAAAAUUAGAAAUUAAAGAAUAGAAUGACUUCCUUGGUCUCACUAGCUGCAUUUCAGUGCUCAGUAGUCACAAAUGGCUAGAGGCUAACACUUUGGCAGCCCAGGAUAGAACAUGUCCAUUAUUACAGAAAAUUAUAUGAGACUUUGCUAAUGUAGAGCUCUGGCUAUCACCCAGAAACAUUCAAUGACAAGGGAGUAAAAGUAAUUUUAAUAUUUGGAAUUGCUCCUUUUUGCUUAUAAGGUUCUGAUCCAUGCAAAUUUCUGUGCAACUGGUAUAACACUCUUCACAAUCAGGGCACAAAUAUACUUCCUUCAUUAUGUGCAGCUCCGUGGAUAUUCUUUAAAGCCCAGAAAUAAAAGAAACCUUAAAUUAAAUAAUUCCUAAAAUUGCCUUAUUUCUGAACACAUUUGUACAUGUAUGCCCAUGUUCUAUACGCAUGAUAGUUAUAAAAGUCUACAAAUAUUUAUGUACACAUACUCACAUGUUUGCAUCCUUUCUCACAAUUAUUUUUACAGUCUUUCGAUGAGCAAAGGUAAAAAAGUGUAGGGCUUUCCAACAGAGGAACUAUGACAGUUGAGUAGUCCGGUGACAAUUUGGCCAAUCACAUUAGACAGUAAGAAAUGCACGUUACCACCAGAGUACGCUGUCAUUUUAGAUGCACAAGGUUGAUCCCUUUCAGAAUCCUGGAGUAAUGCUCACCAAUAUAAAAAAGGCACCACAGGAUUUUAUUGGCUCAACACAAUCGUAGUUUAUUUUUGCUACUUUACUAGCCCUUUGCAGGUGUUCUUGCUUGGGUAGAUUUUCUCCAAGUGGUGAGGAGACACUCAGGUUUAUUGCCAAAUUGGUACUCUGCCAUCUCCAACACCUGCCUUGCAAGGUAUCCCUGUUUUUGUUUGCUGAUUUUUUUGGCCACUGUUUCAGUUUUACCACCUCCAAGGAAAAAGCUCAUGGAAGCUCACUCGUGGGAGAUUUCCAUGGGACACAUGCUUAUACUCACAUUUCCUUGGCUAGAACUCAACCAGACACUGAAUUCCAGGAGCAGAUGGAAAAUGUGGUCAAGCUCUAAAGAGGGAAAAACUGGUUUGGUAUCAGUGAGCAGUCUCUAAUUAUGGCUAAAUCUAUCUGCUAAUGUACAUGUCAAACAAUGAGAACAUUCACCCACUGCUGCUGGGACCAUAAAUCAGUACAACCAUGUUGGAGAUCCCUUUGGCACCAACCUUUAAAUCAGAACACGACCCACCAAUUCCCCUCGCUGGUAUGUACUUUAGAGGAACUCUUGCAUACUCUUGUACAUAGAUAAGCAUGCCCUUAGCAGCAAUGUUCGUAACAGUAAAACCCUGCAACAACUCAGAUGUUCGCUGUCAGGGGGAUGGAUCUAUAACGUGUGAAAUACUUACAUAAUGAAAGACUGUACAAAGGCAAAAUGAAUUAACUAAAUCUGUGUGCAGAGUCAUGGCUGAAUCUCAGAAAUUCCAAAUUGUUGGAAGGGAAAAAAAAAAUACAGACUAUGCAGUGUGCUCUCAAUGAAUAUGAUUCAAAUGCUAGCCUAAGUAAACCAUAAUAUAUUGAUUAGGAAAACAGAGCUCUUAGGCAAAAUUGUUACGUUUUUAUUACACAAAAAAUUCAGGAAAAUAUUAAACUUUGACGGUGGGAUUUUCAAGGCAGUAUAGAAGCAAGCCUUGAAAACAACAAUGAAUGAGAAAUAUUCUCCAUUUUUUAUGUGGGUUGUUGGAUCCAUGCUUAUUUUAUUGGCUUGCUUCUUAACAUGCUUUGCAUAUUCAUCCUUUCCCACCAAUGCAUGUUUUCCUUUAAAGAUACCCAACACUUCACACACAAAGCAAAUUAGUUUUAGGUGCAGUGAAUCCUUCCUGCACAGUUUCCUAUCUCCAACAAUUCUUUAGCCCUGAACAGAUCUCGCUGAUGUAAGAGUGGAUUCUCUACCACUGCUCUAUGCUGUCACCACCGUUUGCUGGUUUUACGCCUCAGAGGGUGGAGACCUCAUUCAAACUAGGCCAGUAAGAUGGACCCUGGAAGGAAGAGGCUAUCGGAAUUUUUUUCAGACGAAUUGCUUUCAAUCCCAAUUUGAUCCCUCUCCUCUCACUGCUAUUUUAUUAAAAGUCCUGUCUCGUUGGUACUCUCUUAAGACUAAGAAAACAUGGAUGAAGCCAGAGGACAUCAUGCCAGGUGAAAUAAGCCAGGCACAGAAACACAGCCUAUGAUCUCACUUCUAUGUGGAAUCUAAACAAAUUGAACUAACGGAAACAGACAGUAGAACAGUGGUUCCCAGGGGCCUCGGCGUUGGAGAUUGGGAAGAUGUUGAUCAAAGGGUACAAAGUUUUAGUUAGAAAGGAGGAAUAAGUCUUAGGGA